This is a non-coding RNA of Oryctolagus cuniculus (rabbit), 26195 nucleotides long. The record is from RefSeq and is a predicted model, not a curated record. NCBI's taxonomy places the organism in Eukaryota, Metazoa, Chordata, Mammalia, Lagomorpha, Leporidae.
CCAGAAUGCAGUCUCAAGUGCUCCAAAAUGGAGUCCCUACUGUCAAGGUGCUACUUCACUCUGUCUUAUUUUCACGGCUGCACCAGGAAGGUUUAAACCUGUAAGCUUAAGCUUAACUUUUUAUACCCGCACAUAUACAAUUUUAACUCUUCAGUGUAGGAAGGAACUGGGCUUAUUGUUGAACACAUUAUUGUAAAGAGAAUAUUUCCAAGUCCAUGCUCAGAAAAUACCUGAAAUAGAUAGUAGGUUUUGGAAAAUAUGUUUUUAUGUAAUUUAAUUCAAUUUUUAGUCAGAGUAUUUUAUUUUUCAAAUAUGGAAUACAAUUUCUUUUAUUUCAAAUUACUUCUCUAGUAUUAAACUAAAUGGUUCAGCUUAAUCACAUAUAAAAAACUUUCCAGUACAUAGGCCUAGAUUCCAAAUCUUGCUACAAAUUAGUUUCUAGCCCAGGCAAUAAAUGGAUACCUGGAGGAAAUUCAAAAAGCAAAACCACUUUAAUUAGGUUUGAAAGUGUCUCCAAUCAGUUUCAGAAUAGCUGUCACUGGAUUUAUGAUGCACCUCCCAAACUGUAGCUUUUCAUAUCCAGCUAAAGUGAGAAGGCCCCAGAGAAACUGAGUAUGAUUUCUUGAGACCUAAAUAUUUAUCUCCUCUAAUAAAUGCUCCUAGAAAAUAUGGGCAAGAAGAUGGAAGGAUAACCGGGCUUAGCUUAAGCCAAGCCUGUCAGACUCUAUCUUUGUUUUCACUUAAAAGCAAGAGUUUUAGAAGGAUUAAUCCAAACAAACCUUCCCUCACUAAUCUUCCACACAUCAGUCACAUUCACUUCCACAUCUGUGCCCAAAUGACAGUAACUUGGGGCUUUACCAGAGUGGGAACCAGCCCUGAGACCCAGAGAAGUCAAGGGAACCAGGACUCUAACCCAUGUCAUCCCAACUCCAACUUGAAAGAAAAUGUUAGUAAUAAAAAAAAUUGUGAUCAGUCCUUUCAUACAUUACUUUUCUGCUGUUUUGAAAUUGACUCACCUGUUAAUUUCUGUUGGAUUCUUCUUUCCUUGUUUUCUAAGUCAUAACAAUGUGGUACAUGGCAAAAGCAAAACAAAACAAAACAAAAAAACAACCAAACACCUUCAUGCAGCAUGGUACCCUGGAGAUUGCAUGGAGAUUGGAGCUGGGAAAAUGGCUGUCGUCACUUCUUGGUGACUUGGCUUUGUGCUUGCCUGCUGUGACCCUCAGUCUCUUCUGAGUAGAGAGAAGGAACACUCAGGGUAGAAAGCUGUGGUGAAUAUGCUGGGGUAAAAUACCUGGUGGGAUCUAAAUUUCCAUCUCUGUUACUGAUGAUAUAAAAUUUAGAAAGGUACAGUUAGGUUUGGCAAGAGGCAUGUGCAAGGUCCCCUUGAGAGUUAAUGUGGGAUGCUGCAUCAGGUCAGUAAGUCUCAGUGGCACUUAUCCCUGAGCCUCCUCAAACAGCGCUUUUUAUUUUUGCAUGAGUGUGGUAGUAAUCACAAAGAAAGGGCAUUUGGGCUAAAAUUCUUAAUAUCUCCAUAAUGUGCUAGAUACUCCGCCAAGUGCUUUGUAGGUAUCAUCUCAUCUAGUCCCCACAGCAAAUCUAUGUGAUUGGUAAAAUUGUCAUGCGCAUUUCACAGAUGGAAGCCCAGUAUCGAUUGGUUCAGCUUGCUUAACUUGGCCCAGUGAAAUUAUUUCCUUCCGCUCUAACUUCUUUGCCUUCUGUUUCCUUGCUGUCAUUAAAGUGACUUUCCAAUGGCAAUCAUAAUGUGUUUCCCUGGAUGAGUGUCAUGAAAUUUGAUCUGCAAGAAGGCAGUAGGCAGAAUAGUGUCCCCUUGCCCUUCCCAAAGAUGUUCAUAUUCUAAUCCCAGAACCUCUGAAAAUAGUAGCUGAUGUGACAGUGAAAACCUUGAGUAUGGAGAAUUCUUUGGGUUGUGGGUGGGCCUAACGUAAUCUUUAGGAUUCUCUGAAAAAUCAGAGAAGGAGAAAUGGGGGCAAAGCUGCAGAGAUUGGUAUGAUAUGCUUUGAAGAUGGAGCAAGCGGCCAGUGCCAAGGAACAAGUUUGGCCUGCAGAAGCUGUAAAAGGCCAGGAGAUGGAUUCUCCCAUGGAGCCUGCAGAGGGCCUGAUUUGAGCUGAUGCUGCAGUUUUAUCCCCGUGAGAUUCAUUUUGAUUUCUGACUUCAGGAGCUCCAGGGUAUUGGGUUUUAAGCCAGUAAAGUUGUGUUGAUUUAAGCCACUACGCCAAAUGAUAGUUCAUGGCAAAGAAACCAGCCAACGCACUGUCAUAAGCAUUCAAACAAGCAUAACCCUGCUGUGGAAUAUAGAGAAACAUGCAGAGAUGCAGUGGAUUGGGAAGCCCGCCUGUGAGGUCAAGGCCCACAGCUUGAGAGCGUAGCUGCUGGAAUCCAAAGCCGGGUCUUUCUGGCCGUGUCCACUCUGCUUCUUAAUAAAUAGGAACUUUGCACAAGGUCACACAGCUGUUUGCUGGCUGAGCUUGGCUAGAAAUGUGCUCUCACUCUCUAUAUACGUUUUCUUGAAGGCAAAUGAAGAGAUUCAGAUACGAACACAGACUCGUCAGUGGAUGAGGGUCUGCAACCUGGUCCUCCUCUUUCCACACAACUCAAUUGUAAAAGCAACUGAGAGUGGUGCUCAUUCGUCAGGCAUGGCUGGCCGGGCAUACUCACAGUCCUUUGCAAAUGAUUAAUUGGCAUAGUACUGAGCUCAGUGUGAAAUAAUCACUAGUGAAGUGGUUAAUGUUUGCUAAAUGUUGCUGAAUGCACCACCACCCAUAGUUGAAGAGUCCCUGUUAGAGGGAUCUCUUCAGGUAUAAACAAGGUUUGGGGUUGCUCACAGGUCAGGGCAUACUCUCAUGAACAUCUGCCCUCCCUGGUCCUGAGAUUGAGAUGUAACUGCAUGACAGGGUUGCUCUCUGGAGGGAGGGAAGGCAUCUAAACAUGGCUACAACCCUUGUGUUGUUACACUUCACAGAUGACUUAAUUUUCAUAGUGAAGUAUUAUGAUUUUUCUUCCCAAAAUAUGGAAACUGAGGCAGAAAUCUGGGGACCAGCAGGAUUAGAAGUAGUACUGGGGGUCCGGCGCCGCGGCUCACUAGGCUAAUCCUCCGCCUUGCGGCGCCGGCACACUGGGUUCUAGUCCCGGUCAGGGCGCCGGAUUCUGUCCCGGUUGCCCCUCUUUCAGGCCAGCUCUCUGCUGUGGCCAGGGAAGUACAGUGGAGGAUGGCCCAAGUACUUGGGCCCUGCACCCCAUGGGAGACCAGGAUAAGUACCUGGCUCCUGCCAUCGGAUCAGCGUGGUGUGCCGGCCCCCGCGCACUGGCCACGGCGGCUAUUGGAGGGUGAACCAAUGGCAAAGGAAGACCUUUCUCUCUGUCUCUCUCUCACACUGUCCAUUCUGCCUGUCAAAAAAAAAAAAAAAAAGUAGUACUGGGAAUCUUAGAUGUGUGGAGCUAGUGGGGAAAACCCACAGUUGUAAUUCAUACCUCUGGAUAAUCAAAAAGCGUUUACUGAGCCCUGUUCCACUUAACAGGAGUCUUCAAAUCCUGUUAUUGGUUAACACAUUAACAGGUAUCUCAUUUGGACAUGCAAAUAUCCCAAAUAGAGAUGAUCUAAAUCUAUCUGAGACAUGGAGGGCUGGAAACUAUCCUAGCACAAAAUUUAAAGAUUUGAGUUGUACCUGUCUUAAUUUCUUUUAACCUUGAGUAACUUAGUCCCUCUCUCUGGAUUUUCAUGCCUAUGGAAGCAGCAUAGUAUAGAGAAAUCACAUAGAUUUUGAAGACAGGCACAGCUAGAAUAAAAUCUGUUUCAGCAACAGACUAAUAGUGGGCUUAAGCAAGUCACUUAAUAUUGCUCACGUGACCUUCCAGUAUUAUCAAAAAAUGAAGAUAAUAAUAUGCAGCUUAUAGGGCUCCAUAAGAGCUGUAAAUAAUGACACACAUUUAGAAGGCAAGUUGUUGCAUAGCAAUCUCUCAAAAGAGGCAGCUCUACAUGGGAGAAUGUUUGACUAAGUGAUCUCUAGACCCUUGCAUGAACUGUCACUAUUUUUUCAAACAUGUUGACUUCUGUUUAUGGGAGAACUUACUACAAACCAACUACUAUGCCAAGGGCUAGGUUUGUAUUAUCCCAUUAAAUCAUUGUAAUUUUUAAGAGAUACUACCAAAACCCUUGCAAAUAAGGACUCCUGGGCAUAGGGAAGAAAAGAAAGCUGCCUCUGUCAUAAAGAUUGUGAUGGAGCCAAGAGCUGAAUCUAAAUAUCAAUGAUUCCAGAGCUCCACUGUUAAAAUAUACCUGUUCUUAUAUACCAGCAUAUGUUAUUACUUUUGUAGGAAAUACUGGACCCAGGUUUCCUCUUCUCCUCUAGUUCAAGUAUACAAGCUGAUGACAUUGUCAGUCUUUGUGGAUACCUUAAUGGCAUCGAGUCAAAACCCAGCACCAACCCUAUAAAUACUUUCAACAAAAGUUGUAACUGAAAACAUUUGUCAGUGCCGUGAAGAAAGUGAGAGUCGGAUAUCUGAUGGUGCAUGUUCUCAGUGAAUGGAAGAGUUAUUUGAAUUGAUCAUGAAAAUCAAGAUGCUUGACUAUCAGCUCAGUUUUUGCUCUAUUAUUGCAUGUCGUAGGUUAGACAAUUGGUGAGGAGGUAGAUUAUUGAAUUCCCUAUCUCCACAUUUUCUGAGCUGCUAUAACCUGCCAGGCAGACUACUAGGGACAACGAAGAGGAAGAUAUUUUUUUGACUGUGAAAAGUACUGAUCUGUAGCAUUUAUAUAGAGUAAUUGAUCCCACCAAGGCCCAUUUAAAGCUGCAAAUACAAGGACCCUGAACUUAUAGUAGGGAAGAAUUGUACUUGCCUCUUGGACUCCAUCUCUCUGCUACCGGCUUCUUAAAUGCUUGUGUGCGCUUUUCAGGGAUACAUGCUCCUGCUGUGCUGACUUAAUGUCCACUCAUCCUUCAGGUCUCUGCUCAAAUGUCACUUCCUUAGAAACUUUGCCUGGACUCGUGUCCCAGAUGGAGAUUCUUGUGAGAGCUGAUGAGGCUUUUCCCAUCUGUCCCACUGUUUCAUGAGAUACAAGACAGCUGAAUCCCUCAAGAGAGAAAUACUGGCUAUGCCCACUAGUGAGAAGCCUUGGGUUGGUUUUGGAGACCAGUGUCAUGUGCACACAACCUUGAAGCAAACAUUUCCUGUUAAAAUGACUGUUGGAGACAGUCCUAAGUCCCAAGGCAACUUUUGAAUCAGAUCAAACCCAAUCUCUGCAUAAAAUAGCUAAAAAGAGUCAGAUCAUCUGAAGACAUUGAUUUAGUAAAAGGUUUUGGAAAUAUUAAAGCAGCACUAUUGCCUUCUCUCUAGAGGUUACUGAGCUGAUUUGGAUAAAAUAAGAAAUGACUUGACCCCUUAGCCUUGAACAAAAUCAGGACAAAAUUAAAUAUUUGAACUUUAAACAAGUUCCCCCAACUUCACCCCUAUGGGUGUGUCAUGCUUCUGCUUUCCACUCCUAAUCUCCACUCAUGGCCCACUAGGGGAUGUCCUGACAGAGGUCAUCUCUUCCUGGGGUAUUUCUGGCCUCAUUCAAAAUAGGAAAGACCCCAAGUCUCCUGAGGUUCUUGUCUCAUGAGAUUUCCCAUCUGAAUCUGCAGUCCCGAGAGAGAGGGUGGGGGGGAGCGUUUGCAGGACUUGCCUGCUGGUCGAACUAAAGAGAGCCUCCAACUCUUCAGAGGGUCACAUGUUACCAUUUGUCGCCAUGACUGGGGAAAUUGAUUUUUCUCAUCUGCUGUAACAUCAAGAGCUUUCUGGUGUCUCCUCUUGGAGACAAUAGGCCUGUGUAGAGACACUCUUAUUGAACUCUUCUGUGCAGAGAGUGAGGGGGAAGCAAAGUUAUGAAGAACAAUCAUAGACUUAAUCUUUACAAGCCACAUACCCUUGUAGCUGACAUUCACAGAGCUCCCACCGUGACCCAGAUUCAUGCAAGCAUUUCACAUGCAAGAUCUCAUGUAAUCCUCACAAGGACUCGACACAUUAGUGGUUCCCACAUUAGCACUGCGCAUGCCAGGAUUCAGAGUGAUUAGCCAGAUUGUCUAUAGUGACAGCGAGUGUAAGAGGUAUGUAGCAAAAUGGACACUCAAAUCUAGGUCUGAUGCUAAGCUCAGAACUGUACCGAUAUCCCACCUAACAGAAGUUGACAGAACAAAGCAGUUUCAUGCAGGAAAGAAGAAUUUUUUGGUGAGCACAUCACAGAGGCUGUAUUUCCUUACUUCCACUGACAAAGCUACUCCUCCUCAGAAACUUGCCUGAGUGUCUUCCAGAUCUUGCAGACAGAUAGAAGCCAUGGACACGUAGGACAGUGUCCUGUCUGCCUUUCUGUUGCUAAGCACGCAAUACUACAGACUGCGUAAGUUAUAAAGAAGAGUUUUAUUUUGGCUCAUGGUUCAGGUUUAAGGUUGAGAGAGCUCAUCUCUGGAUGGCCAUUUUUCUGGCAGGAUCCUGAGUUGGCCCAAGGCAUCUCAUAGUGAGAGACAGGGAGUGUGGGUGUGUGCGUGUUCUGGUUUCUCUCCCUCUUCUUAUAAAGCCGCCAGUAUUCAGUCAUGCGAGCUGCACCCUGACGACUUUAUCUAGUCCUAAUCCCUCCCAGAGGCCCCACCUCUGUAUACCACAUUCAGAUUAAGUUUCCAUCCUCUCAAUACCUCACCUUGGGGAAUAAUUCCAGCAUGAGCUUCAGAGGGGACAGCCCAUAUUCUAAACACAGCAGAUAUGUCCAAGGUCACCAGCAGAUGUGGCUUUUAACCUAAGGCCAUUUUCUUUAUCCUCCAGCCUCCUGCUUAAGGACAUAAUUGGCUCGCCUUCUCAUUUCUUCAUACAGAGCCAAGCUGCAUGAUAGGUCUUAAAUAAACAGUGAAAAAAUGUUUUUAAUAACUUUAUUCCCAUUGCACAUAUACAUGUCUUGGAUUCAACAACAGGAAAUAUUUGGGUCUUUCAUGACUGAUUUCAACAUUUUUUUAAACUUUUCCACACAUAAUAGCUGUCUUAAAAGCCUUCUGUUUUUUCUCACCAUGCAGUCAAGGGCCAGUAACCUGCUUCUGGUGUAGUACAGAGGCCAUGAAAGUGGAAUUUCCUAAAUACAGUUUGAAUGACAGAUUCUGCCUUAAGGCUGCCUCUGCUGUUUGUCCUGAAUAAACAGUGCUCAAGGUGCUGAGUGGAUUCUGCAUUUAGCCUUCUCUGCUACAAACAGCUUCACUGUAGGUGAGGGCAGCUGACUUGCUGGGACCUCCUGAGGAUCUGAGGAGGAGGCCAGGCCAGAGUCUGGCUCAGUAAAGGAUUGGGUGGCUUUAAAAUUGGCCUGAAAAUGUUAAGUCAAGCAGACUAAAGAGAUCUGUUCAAAUUAUGGGGAAAAUCUAGGGUGAUUCUAGUCUAAGCAGUUGAGUUUGAAGGGUGAUGGGUAAAUUCCAAGUUAGAUCAUGUGGUCGUUAUAUCAGAUCUGACCCCAUUAAAAGUGGUUGAAUAAACCAGAGGGAGGUAAGUUACACCUGCUGAUCACUUUAUCUGUGUCAUGCUUUAUGCAUGGGUUAGAUUAAUAUAGGGCUGUAGGAUAGGAUAGACUGGACUGCAUCCCAAGCCUGCAUCUUCAGCUAGGAGAAUGGAGCAAAGAGAUUGUUCAUACUGGGUCGCCUCCUUAAUUCUUUGUUUUUUGGGGGGAGUCAUGGCAGAAUUCUACUCAGCUAAACUCAAUAGGAUAGGUUCCUUGCAGGGAGGAAGUGUCCAGUUAACAGAAGCAAAGAGAGUGUGAAUGGAGCAGGCCCAAACAACAAGUGUGCAUUUCCAUGAUUGAGUUCCAAGUCCUCUCUGAUGUUGGUGCUAGGGAGUUUAUCUCUGCACUGAGGGCAGGAUGUGCCUUAGUGGGGGAGGAACCAUCCAGAAUUCCAGAUUCUGGAAGAUUGAGAUGAACAACAGAGUAGCACAUUUUACUCUAAUGAAAGAUAAGCUCCCUAGUUAUUCAGGGGAAAUGAAAAAGUAAUUCUCUACCUUAAAAGGAAUGGGUAAUUUACACAAAGGCCAUGGGCUCACUGCCAGGCAUCAAUAAAGUAAAAGCCAGAGGGAGAGGAGGAUCCCAGUCUUAAGGAGGAUAGGGUCAACCAUUCUCACUAUGUUAGGCGUAUUAACCAAAAAGAGAGGCACGGGGCCCUUGCUGUGGUGUAGCAGGUAAAGCCGCCACCUGCAGUGCCAGCAUCCUAUGUGGGCGCUGGUUCGAGUCCCGGCUGCUCCACUUUGGAUUCAUCCCUCUGCUAUGGCCUGGGAAAGCAGGAGAAGAUGCUCCAGGUCCUUGGACUCCUGUACCCAUAUGGGAGACCUGGAAGAAACUCCAGGCUCCUGGCUUUAGAUUGGCCCAGGUUUGGCUGUCGUGGCCAUUUGGGAAGUGAAUCAGUGGAUGGAAGAAUCUCUCUCUCUCUUCCUCUCUCUCUGCCUCUGCCUCUCUGUUACUCUGCCUUUUGAUAAAUAAAUUUUUUAAAAAAGAAAGAAAACCAUUUUAAAAAGACAGGGAGGCACAGCCUGUCUGACUUCAGCACCCUGAGAGAUGCAUGGAAGGGUGGUUAUGGUUGAACUGGGAGAGGGUAUGUAAUUACACUGUAGCCUCCAAACCAAGUGCAGAAUCCAACACAGCUUACUCUUCAGCAAAUUUUUGUGCAAGCUGCAGGAUACAGCUUGUGAGGUAUAGAUAGCAUUUUGAGUAUUUCCAACAUAGAAGGAAAUCCAUUAAAAGAUCAUUUUAAGAAAGCGUCCAAUACCUAGAGCAGGUAGGAAUACCGUAAGACGUCACAAUGUGGUCUAGUUUAAAAUGUUGGAUGGAAGUGCCACAUUGAGGGAGUUUCUCCAACGUUCCAUCCUGGGGGCUGUAAGUCUCUGUUGGUGUUGCUCAAAGAGGUCAUGUAGUGCCUGGAAGGAAAAGAUGAGGUCAAGAUGAGGCUGAAAGGAGAAGAAGAAAAGCCCCUCCUUAUCUACACAUCCUGAAAAGGAGCUGAGACUUUGUCCUGUAGGCAGUAGGGAAGCAUGGAUUUCUAAGUGGGGCGAUAUGAUCAGGUUCAUAGCUGCAAAGGCUGGAGUUGGAGGGUUAAGGAGAAUAAAAAUGAAAGGAAGGAAAGUGGCAUGGUUCACAAGAGGAAUGCUCAGUGAGAGCUGAGACAUGCAGGUGGAACUCAAGUGAAAUAUCAGAUUUAAUGUGGGAGUGACUGUCUAUUUUUGCUUACCAUUUUAUCCCAGGGACUACAAAGUGUCAUCUAGAUGUAUGUAUGUAUGUACGUAUAUAUGUAUGGGUAUGGUCAUUCUAAAUUAUCCCAGGGUGUGUGUGUGGGUGGGUGUGUGGAGAGACAGACAGACAGACAGACUACCAUGUAUAUGAUGAUGCUUCAAAAAGUUCAUGGAAAAUUCAUGUUAUAAAAUAAUGCCUAGAUUUCAAAAACUUUUUGCAUCCAAAUAAGCUUAUCUUUUAAUUUCAUUUUCAUGAUGUCUUUGUGCCUUUAUAUGCAUGUGCACCCACAAACUUACAGAAUCUUAAAGGAGUUCACGGAACAAACGUACUAUGCCAAAAAAGAUUUGUAACAAAUAAACGUCCUUUGAUUCCAUUUUCGAUGGGCUUCUUAGAGCCCCCUUGUUUGCUGAAUAAGUACCAGAAGUGUUCUUGUGAAGUUGAAGGACCUCCGUACAAAUGAGUAUUCAACAGCUGGUUAGAGCAGGAAGGCGGGGAGUUGGCUGUAAGCUACACAUCGCUAAUUAGAUAUCUCCCAGUGACCAGAGAGCUGACUCAGGGUGUAUGAGCACGUGUUGGAGGGUGUUGAGGGCAGCAGUCUAAAGCUCAUGGUUUCCUUACAAUCUUUCCUGCUCCCUCACCUUUGACCUUGGAGGUGCCUCUCCCUGGACCCUCCCUGCCCCUGCAUGUCUCUUGGAGCUGGUUCUCAGCUACUCAAGUUACUAGUCCUUGCUUACCCUAAAGGUCAUCACACACAGCAUUCCUUCUCCACCCCACUCGGGGAUUCUUAAAUGUUGCCUUAUUUCCAUACUCCCAGCAAUUUCUAGCAAAUUCAUUCCGACUCAUUUUUUAAUAAGCUCCUGGGUCUUUAGAUCAGACCUUAAGUAUUUCACUUGAUUUGUAUUUGGGGUGGGGAGGGGAGAAAAAAACGACCAAUGAAACAUGAUGGCCCUCUAUUAAAUGGCAAAUAUUUAUUGGACUUUUUGAAAUAUACCCAAUACUUUGAGGCCUCUAGGAAAAUAAUAAAACUGUACACUAAGCAACCUGUGAAAUUCACCACUCAGUACCUGAAGCUCAGCUGUCCCCGUUGGUGUUUGUGGGUGCAGGCCACUUGGGCCUGACUGUCUUGAUGAACAGAGAGAGAGUGGUGCAGAAACACUGCCUACAACUCAGUGAUUCUUCGUCAUGGGACAACUAACACGAUAAUAAUAAUCUACCUUGUGCAUUCUUUCUAACCUCUUGCUUUGGUGUGUGAGUUGCCUCUCUGGCCUUCAAUAGACUUAGAGGAAUUUACCUGAUGAUUUUUAAAGUGUAAUUUUACCACAGUCAGAAGAAUAUAAAUGGCAUAAUUGACCAGAAUUGUCAUUUCUUGAGUCUCACCUGUGAUAUUCAGAAUAUCCAGAAAACAAAGAAACCAAUGUUUGUUGAGCACCUACUAUGUGCCAGGCAUUAAGUUAAGUGCUCUUUUGAUCCAUUCUCAUUUAAUCUUCAUGAGAUUUCUGUAUUGAAAUUUUUAUUAUCUCUUAUAAAUUAGAAAAGGGCAGCUCAAGAGAACUUGAGCAAGUUGAGGCUUACAUAAGAAGUAAGGUAUUCAGGAUUCACACUGAUGUCUGCCUGUUAACUUUGCUUUUUAAGAGCUGUGGUUUCAGGAACAGCACUGCCAGCUGCUAUCAGUUUUGUGUCCAGUCCCUGGCUUCAUUUCUGGAUGAUUCUAGUCUAGAGGGUAGGAGGAUGGGCUCAUAAGCAUGUUUGAGUCUUUGUUAGCACAUGGUUGAUCUCAGGCAGGUAAUGUCAGAAUCUGUAAUCCAAAACAGUGAAAGCUAAAUGUUCUAACAUCCAAAGCAUCUUAUGCAGCAACAUGAUACACUAAAAUAUUGUAUAGUGUUAUUUUCAGCCUAUGUAUAUAAAGUAAGCAUAAAAUGUAAGUGAAUUUUGGAUUUAGACUUGAAUCUAAUCCUCAAGACAUCUCAUUACAUAUAUGCAAAUAUUGUAAAAUCUGAAAACUUCUGAAAUUCAAAGCACUUCUGUCCCCAAACAUUUCAGAUAAGGGAUAUUCAGUCUGUAAUUUUGGACCUCAGUUCCAUAAAAUGGAAAUGGAGUUUAUCAAAGUAAUUUUGAGGAUUAUAGUAGAUGAUUUUUAGAGAGAAAAGAGUAAAUAUUUCAAUAGGUGCUCCAUAAACAUCAAAUACUCAUUUUUCUGUACUGUGUCACUUCCUAGAACCUCUGCUGUUUCAUUAAUAAAUUGGGAAGAUUACUCCAGGAACUUUUGUACUCACACGAGAGUACUUAAAGGGUUAAAAUGGUAGUAUACUGAAGAGCUUUGUGCAGUAUGAAUCAAUCCAUUUUCUCUCUCCUUCCCACUCUCUCUCUCCUUCUCUGCUCAUGACUAUUUUUAAUGUGUUCUUAGAAUUUCUAUUGGCUCUGAGGUGAGUCUGCAUCCAGGGCUCUGUUGAGCCAGGACUUGGGGCUUGGUGAUGUUUGACAGGUGAGGCUGUAUAUUCAGUUCUGACAGCUGCAGUAACAAAUGGCCACAACGUUAAUGACUUAAUACAGCACACAUUAUUCCUUCACAGUUAAGGUCGGAUGUUUAGAAUUUCUGCUGCCAGGCUGAAAUGAAGGUGUCUGCAGAGCUGUCCCCGUCAAGAAGGUUCAGGGGAGGAUCUAUUUGUCACUCCUGUGGGUCUGGAGGCCAGUGUUCCUUGGUGGUGGCCCCAGUAACCUAAUUUCUGCCUCUGUAAUUACAGUGCCUUUUUCUCUUAGGUGAAGUCAGGUUGUCGUCCUUCUCCAUCUUGUAAAGACCAUUGUGGUUGCCUUGGGCCCAUCCAAAUAAUCCAGAAUAAUCUCCUGACCUCAACGAUCUCACCUUAAUCACAUCAGCCAAGUCCCUUUGGCUGUGUAAGGGAACAUAUCCAUAGGUCCCGCAGUGAGGACAUGGGUAUUUAUUCAGUUGGCACCAGGCAUGCUAACAGAAGAAGCCUGCCACCAAGUCUGGGAGGAGAAUGAGCUGUUUUAUAGGGAAGUGUGGAUUGCCCUUGUGUCUCUUCCUAAUUUGCUUUGUCUUCUCUCUCUUCCCUCCGUCUUCCCUCUCUUUUCCUCUUUCCCUUCCCUUCCCCCUUCCCUCCCCUCCGACUAUUCCCUCCCCUUCUUCUCUUCCCUCCCCUCCUAACAUGCUCCCUUCCCUUUCCUCCCCUCCCACCAUUCGCCCUCCCCUCCUUUUCCUUUCCACCAGUGAUUUAUUCAUUGAUGAAUUCAGUACAUUUAUUGUGGUAAUUUCUAUGGGUACAGAGAUAAAAGCAGUAUCCUGUUCUGGGGGAGUUCUAAGUUACUGGAAUUGGUGGGAAGCAAAUAGUCAUUGAUAGGAAACCUGGAAUGAGGCACCUCAUUCUGACCAGGAGUGGGCGUGGUGUAGCAGGAAGACCAGAGCACCUGAACCAGACAGUUUGACAUGAAUGGUAGCCACCUUCCCAUUGACUGGCCAGCCCCUAUAUGAUCAGGGUCUCAAGGUUUCCAAGCCUCAGUUUUUUCAGGUGCAGCAGAGUGGUUAUGGGCGGAGGUGCAGUGACAGUCAGCAAGGUAACGUCGUUGUCGACUGGCGUCUCUUGCACCUGCCUCCCUCUCCUCCUGGUUUGCAGACUUUUGACUUGGGCACUGCUAGAGACGGUUACAUGCAAUCAGAGGUUGCCAUGAGGCUUCUUCUCAGCAGCCCAAACUCUCAGUUAUUCUAAUUCUUUAGUAAUUAUUGUCCGUGGCAUUGGCUUGUGGUUUAAGACGGUGUUUCCUGGAAUUUCCCUAAAAGUAAUGCAAACUGGAUGCCUUAAAACAGCACACAUUUGUUCUUUCAAGUCUGUGGAGGCCCCAAAUCUAAAAUCCAAGAGCCAGGAGGGCUGGUGUCUUCUGGAGCUACUGAGGGAGGAACUGUCCCUGGCCUCUCUCCCAGCACCAGGUGGUUGCCUGUGAUGCUAGGUAUACUUUGUGAUGUAGCCGCAUCACCCCAGUCUCUGUCUCCACCUUCACGUGACCUUCUUCUCUGUGUCCAUCUCUGUCUCUUAAAAGGACGCUGUCACAGGAUUUAGUGCCCAGCCACAUCUGGUGUGAUCUCCUCUACAUCUUUGCCUUAGUCAUACCUGCAGAGGCCCUUUAUCCAAGUAUGGUUGUGUUUUGAGGUUUCAGUGGGACCAGCCACAUGGACAUAUGACUUGACCAGUUACUUGGGGCCCCAUGUACAGAAGGCGACCACUCUUGCCAUAUUAAAGCUGAAGACUUGGUGCAGAAUUGGCACUCGGAAAACGCUGACCAGUGAUGGCAGGAACUAAGAAAUGAAGGAUCAGACAGACUAAAGUUGGAGUUGCAGCUGGAGUCCUAGAGAGAUUUUAACCGUCAUUGUGUCCGAUGCCACCUGUGUUCUCAUUCAUCUCAGUCAGGAAUCCAACUCUGUUGCCAGAAGGACAGAGAGUGUACAGUGGGACAAAUCUCCAGGAGAGUUGCUAAGUAUAGAGCCCAACUGGUGGCUAUUCAUCAGUGAUGCUAAUGGUUCAAGAUGAUUCUACCUUCCUUAGAAAUGUCAGAAAGGGUUGAGAAAAGACCCAAAUACCCCAACAAGGCCCCCAGGAUACUCUUUCUUAAGUAAAUAUUACUUGUCACCAUCACCAUCAUCACUGCCAAUAAGAUUAGCACCGUGAUCAAGAAACUUACCAUUUUGACUCCUAGGCUUGAAACUCUAAUUUCUGAUUGUUAUCUCAGGAACUCCUCCAGCUUCAGGUUGGGCACACUCCUUUCACAAACAGCCAGAAGGAAUAUGAGAACUCUGGAGCUAAUGAAUGAGAUGCUUCCUUACUAAGAGCCUUUAACCAUGCAUCCCUUGGAAGUACCUAAGGUAGUGAUGCAUGCUUUUUAGAAAUAAUUUGAUUUAUCCCAGAGUGGGCAGGACACUCCACGCCUUGGUAGGCACCCAAAGGCAGAUGACAGGAUGACUGUCAUGGAGUUCCUGGGGGCUGGCACACAGCUUGGCUCUAUUGGCCUGUUACAGGGAGGGAUGCGGCAUUCAUUACCAGCUUAGAGUAUCAUUGCAGAGAUAAGGACAACAAUAGGUCUUUAUCUAGUGAUAAAUUAUUAUCAGUCAUAUUAUUUUCCCUUAUUUAUAUAUGGGUCACUUUAUUGAAUUUAGUAGGAGAUAAAUAAAUAAUCUGCCAAGGAUCUGGUAAUAUUACUUCUCAGGGACUCAUUUUAGACCCAGCUAGAUUCCUACUGAUAACGUCUGUAAGCUUUUCAGGAGGGAGAGGCAUAACAUUUGUUUCUGACAAGAACCCUCUGUUUGCCUUAUCUGUUUCAUUUGAGAGGCCAUUGACCCCCAGCUUCUCUGGCUAAAAUGAACUCUUUACAACCAAGUAGGAGUUGUUGAACUUGACUUUUACCACACAGCGUGACAGGGUGCCCCAGCUGCAGAUCUGAGGACCUCUGUCAUCCACAGCCAGGCCUACUGCUUCCUGUUGGCAAGGGACAUGGUGUUGAAUUUCUCUUCUGCAAAUAUAUUAAUACAAAAAUUCAGUUUUUUAAUCUGAAUAUUCUUUCUUGGUCUGAAUUGAAUUUUUUUUUAAUUACAGCAUUAUGAAUUUUUUAACAAAUUUGUAUUUUUAUUUAUUUUUAUUUUUAUUUUUUUUGGCAGGCAGAGUGGACAGUGAGAGAGACAGAGAGAAAGGUCUUCCUUUUGCCGUUAGUUCACCCUCCAAUGGCCGCCGCGACCGGUGCACCACGCUGAUCUGAUGGCAGGAGCCAGGUACUUCUCCUGGUCUCCCAUGGGGUGCAGGGCCCAAGCACUUGGGCCAUCCUGCACUGCACUUUCCUGGCCACAGCAGAGAGCUGGCCUGGAAGAGGGGCAACCAGGACAGAAUCCGGCGCCCCAACCAGGACUAGAACCCGGUGUACCGGCGCCGCAAGGUGGAGGAUUAGCCUAGUGAGCCGCGGCGCCGGCGCAUCAUGAAAUUUUUGAAGAAUACUAAUAGAUACUAAAACUGAUAUAUGUCAAUGAAGAUUACUCCUAAGCCACAAUUUAAAAAAAAUAGGCUGAAGUUUCCACUAAUAAUAUACAGUAGGACUAUAAGCUCAGAUAUCCAGUUUACUUCUUAGACCCACCAUUCAAUUACUCUGACAUUUUAUGCAUUAUGUUGAAGGCAUCUUGCUACAUGGGUCUGAGAAGCUUUGACUCUUUCUGUCUUUGCAGACCAUUCAGAAUUCUAGACACUGUUCUCUGAGCUUUGAUCUAUAUUUCCAGAUAGCCAAGUGCUCCGCUUGGGGCCUCAUGAUGUUGGUGCACAUCAUUGUGCAUUGCUGUGUUUAGGAGGUUUCCCCUUAUCCUAGACAGAGUCUGGAGGAUCCCCCUGGUAUCACAGUCUCUCAUACUCUCAUGGUUUAGUAGGUGGUUUGGUGUGGAGCAGGAUUUUAGUAAAUGUUUAUGGUCAAGUUUCUUUCCUAUAAAGUGUAAUGUGACAGUGUUUCCCUUCAGUGCUGGUUUCAGUUUUUUCUUUCUUUGGUGUCAUUUGUAAGAGAAAUGUCCCUGUUCCCCAUUAGACUGUAAGUUCUAUGACAGCAGAAUUUGUGUAUAUAUGUACAUGGCAUUUCCCCCACCGUUCCUGGCAUUUAGGUGGUGUUCAUACAGUUAACAUAUGCUUACCAACUAUGAGUGAGUGAGUGAAUGGUUUUAUGGGUUUUGGCUCAAGGUCUGUACAUGUUGGGGAAUGUCACACAAUUGUGUAGAAUGCCACACAUCUGAAUCAGGCCUGAUUCAAAUUAAGUUUCUUUUAUUUAUUUAUUUAUUUUUAAUUAUUUUUUGACAGGCAGAGUUAGAGAGAGACAGAGAGAAAGGUCUUCCUUCUGUUGGUUCACCCCAAAAAUGGCCGUUGUAGCUGGCUCACUGUGCUGAUCUGAAGCCAGGAGCCAGGUGCUUCCUCCUGGUUUCCCAUGCGGGUGCAGGGCCCAAGCACUUAGGCCAUCCUCCACUGCCUUCCCGGGCCAUAGCAGAGAGCUGGACUGGAAGAGGAGCAACCGGGACAGAAUCCAGUGCCCCAACCAGUACUAGAACCCGGUGUGCCAGUGCCACAGGUGGAGGAUUAGCCAAGCGAGCCGUGGCACCGGCCUCAAAUUAAGUUUCAACACAGCUCUUGGAGGGGAGGAGAAAUCUUAACUUCUCUGUGCUUCAAUUUCUUCAUCUGUAAAAUGUGAGAAACAUCUCAGGGAUGAUGCUAAGGACAAAGAACCAGUGAAUCCAGUGAUUGUGAAAGCCCCCAGUUCACUCUGAGGCACUGUUUUGUUGUUAGUGACUCUCUUUGAGUCAUGUGCUAGCCUUGGCCACUUGCUUACACAGGUGCCAUUAUGUAGUAAAGUGGGCCCACAGGAGGCUCAGCAAAAGGAUCUGGACCCAGAUGACCCUCAGGUUGUGUUAUCCUUGGUAUGUAAUGAGAAAAUUGGCUGGAAAGAGGAAGUUGUAUUGCUAUGACAAGACGUGCCCCUGGACCCUUCAACUCUGUACAUUCUCCUCUUGGAGAUAUUAAAUGGUCUUCCCUUAAUCUAACCUUCUCUCCUCUUUGGAACCUUCUUUAAUGCAUCCCAGAUGGUCCAUUCUCUUCUGAAAUUUUUCCCCCAUAAUCUUUUCUGCCCUCUCUUUUCCAUCCUUUGAUUGAACCAGGACUUAAUUUAUAACUGCUAUGGAGCAGACCAAGAAAAUCCCUUUACAUGGAAGGGAGUGGGGAAGAACUCUGGAGUCUGACAAUUACUGGUGUUGCAAUGGGCUGUAUGUACAUCAUCCCCCUCAACCAGUGAGUGGAAUCUUGUCUAAACCUUUCUCUGUGCUCUGUACACAGCACACCCUCUUUGAAAUGCCAGCAUCUGACUGUGAGCACACUCACUGACUUGCCCUGAAAUUAUUGAAGAUACUCUAACUAAUGAGUUAACUUCUGGCUACAAUUCAGUUUAAACUGAAAUAAUUUUGAGUUACAGUGGUUUUGGCAUUUCUGUAAUUGAACAGCAUCAUGUUUAAAGAGGCAAAUGUGGGAAAAUACCUUCCCUGUCUUGCAGCUGGCCAAGUUUUGUCACACACACACACACACACACACACACACAUACACACAGAGAAGAUACAGGAUACUGUAUGUCUAAAAUGAAUAAAAGUAGACAUCAUCCCUAUUAUUCUUUAAGAGUUUAAAAAAUACAGAUGAUAGACAUUUAGUCCCAAGAAUUAUUUACGCUGAUAACAGUUCUCAAGUAAGGAUGUGAUUUUAUCACAGUGACAAGAAGGUAUUCCUAUGGAAAGCACACAUUGGCCAUGAUCCAAAGAAUGAGUAGGAAGUCACUGGACAAGGACAGUUUUUCUGGACAGAUGAGACAUCACAUUCAAAGACCCUAUGACUGAGGAAGCUCAGUCCCUUAACAAAGUAAUACCAGUGACUGAGAGUCUUUUUUUUUUUUUUUUGCUGAUGGCAAAAAUGAGGCUCAGAGGUGAAAAUGCCUUGUCUUAGGUCCCACAGUGAGUUAUGAAGAAGAUGUACCAUCAUCUUUUGUUUAUUUUUCCCAGUAGUACCCACCAAAUAGACAGUUGAGGGCUUACCACCAAGUUGUGAGGAGCUGCCAAGAAGCCUCUGAUCACAAAGCCCCAGAGCACUCUCAUCAAUCAUCAGUGGAGAAACCCCAAUCUUUCCGAAUAGAAUUUUAUCCUACCUCAACUUUUCCUUUCUUCUUAUUUAACUUCCUUCCUAUAUUAGUGUCAAAAGUAGAUUAUUUUGGGUGAAAUCAGUGGUAUUCCAUAGCAUCAUGAAGACAUUCCCUGUAUUUCCAUCUUUUAUAAUAUUUAUACUGUUUGGUAGACUAGUGUAUCUUCCUUAGAAUUUCAGAACUGUGAUCAUCUUUUUUUUUUUUUUGGACAGGCAGAGUGGACAGUGAGAGAGAGAGAAAGGUCUUCCUUUUGCCAUCGAUUCACCCUCCAAUGGCUGCCGCGGCUGGUGUGCUGCGGCUGGCGCACCGCGCUGAUCCGAAGGCAGGAGCCAGGUGCUUCUCCUAGUCUCCCAUGGGGUGCAGGGCCCAAGCACUUGGGCCAUCCUCCACUGCACUCCCAGGCCAUAGCAGAGAGCUGGCCUGGAAGGGGGGCAACUGGGACAGAAUCCGGCGCCCCGACUGGGACUAGAACCCGGUGUGCCGGCGCCGCUAGGUGGAGGAUUAGCCUAUUGAGCCGUGGCACCGGUGUAAUCGUCUUUUUAAUCUCUACUCACUCAUCACCUGCUGUAUGAAAUUUGCCUAGGGACCCAUGGUUAAAUCAUUCCUUUAACUUUUCUCCAGAAAUAAUUUGACUGUGGCAGCAUUUUAACCACCAUAUCCUGCAUAGUCUGUAGAUCUGUUUUCACAGUACUAUUGGUCAGCUUGGACUUCCAUGAUAGAACACUUUGGACCUGUGGCUUAAAAGAAAACAUGUGUUUUUUGUAAUUGUGUGGGAUAGAAGUCCAAUAUCAAGGUGCCAGAAGAUUUCCAGUGUCUGGUGAAAACCCUGUCUGUGGUUUGCAGUUGGCUGCCUUCUUGCUUUGUCUUUACAGCAGAGGAAGACACACACACACACACACUCACUCACUCACACACACACACACACACACACAGAGAGAGAGAGAGAGAGAGAGAGAGAGAGAGAGAAGCCUGUCUCAUGUCCCUUCUUAGAAGGAAUCUCAUUUGUGAAAGAACCUAAUUACCGCCCAAAGGCCCAAUUCCAAAUAAUUUCACAUUAGGGAUUUUGGCUUCAGCACAGGUCAAUAGAAAGUUUCUAUCACUUCAACAAGAGAAUGGAUUUCUUGAGGACAGUUUUUUAUUCCCACUCUAUACUCCUUAUCUGAGAGUCUGGGUCACAGUGAAUGCUAAUGGAUCUAUGGGAAAUGAAUUCUAAUAGUUUUCUCAUAGAUAUCCUUUUCCCUUUCUAUUGCAAGUUCCUUUUAGAGAACUACUUCGUAAAAUUUCAAAGUACACAACAAUUAAAAGGGUAGUUUGAUGAACCUUGUGUCCAUCCAGUUUCAAAGAUCUUGGCUAUUCUUUUGAGAGUAAAACUCCUCCUCUGCGGAGAACAUCUAUGCAGUGGGGGCCAGAAGGACACCAUUCUGUAGUCGUUGAUUAAUUCCCAUCAAGUUUGGACACAGUUUUCUUCCCAAAAAUAACAUCAAUAGAACUCCUAGCAAGUGAAUGUCCUCCUAAGGCAAUUCUGAAGACAAAAAAGCAAUAUAAGAACACACUUCCCAAUAAUGUGAAGAUCUAUGGCUGUACUAAAUAAAAAUGUUCUCUUAAUGUACUGUAAAAAAAAAAUAAAAAUGUUUGGCUAGAUUUAUCAACCUGCUCCAGGAGCAGGAUUAAGUUUCCAAGCUACAUUUUUUCUACUUAUUUAAAAAUACCUGAGCUGUAAUAUAGCAAGUCAGGCAACUGCUUCAUUAUAUAAAUAUAACAUAUGUCUACCUUGAAGAUACAGGGUUUAAGAAAAGACUUCUGUUUUCUCAGGCCUGUUGGAUAAUUUGUAAAUGCUGAUUCCUAAGGACAUAGACAUGAGUACAAUUAGCUAUACAUUAAAACCGGCUAUACAUUAGAAAGAUUUUAAUAGAUUAGUAAUAUUUUCAAAAUAUUUGAUGUACUAGAGGUGCUGACCAUGUUCCUAUAAAGUGAAAUGGAAGGUAACUCUUUAAAUUUGAACUUGUGCAGCUUGAAAAUAGAGUGACAAAGCAAGCUGUGGAAAGAAAUCUUGAUUCCCAAUGGAAUGCGCCACCCCGAGAGAGUGAGGGGGACCCAGUGUAUCUGCGUAAUGACAUAUCAUCGUAUGCUCACUUUAGAAUUGCACGAAGUUUGUGGUUUAGGGCUCCAACAAAUGUGAUGUGAGGAAGGAUUUCCCUCGUGAUUUUUCUUCUCACAUAAACUAUUUGCAAUAUUGCCUGUAUAUCCUAAGCCAAGCAAUUCAUAGGUCAUGAAAUGAUUGAAAACAACCCAGCGCAGCGUGCUGAGUUAGUGACCCAGUGGCAACUGGCCUCGUUAAGGGAGAAACUGAAUGAGCAAAGGGGAAGGUUGGAGAAGGCUGGUGAAAAGGAACAAUAGUAUGAGGGCAAAAAUCAGAGUGGAUGGAAAUCCUGACUUCUUAGACCUAACUACAAGUUCUGUUUAUGAUAGAACUGGGAGACUUAGAAUAGAACAAACUCAGUACACUCUGGCCUCUUCCUCCAAAGUCUUCCACAGACCUGAACUGGUAGAUUUUCUUUUUAAAGAUUUAUUCAUUUAUUUGAAAGGCAGAGUUACAGGGAGGCAGAGAUACAAAGAGAAGUCUUCCAUCUGCUGGUUCACUCCCCCAAAUGGCUGCAAUGGCUGGAGCUGAGCCAAUCUGAAGCCAGGAGCCAGGAGCUUCUUCCUGGUUUCACAUGUGGGUGCAGAGGCCCAAUGACUUGGACCAUCUUCCACUGUAUUCCCAGGCAAUUAACAGAGAGCUGGAUUGGAAGUGGAGUGGCCAGGACUCGAACCAGUGCCUAUAUGGGAUGCCAGCACUGUAGGCCGCGACUUUACCCGCUAUGUCAUAGCGCCGGCCCCUAUGGUAGAGUAUUAAUUUGCUGACUCUUUAAUCCCCUUGCCCCUCUCUCAGUGUUUACCUGAGAGAGCUUAACUGUUGUCAUUCAUAGAGAAAAUUGGUCCACACUCAACAACUCUACCUGAACUAGUAAUAAUACUUGUGAACAUAGCAUUGUGUAGAUUCCUCAUGAGCAUUUAUCAACAAUUAAUUGAUUUACUCAAGUGAGUAAUGGAUGAUCAGUCAUUCCUGGCCCUCUCUCAAUCCCACAUGAUCAGGAAUGACCUAUCAGUGGACUGUACAGCCUUUUGUCUUCCAGCCAUAGACAUCACCACUGCUCCCAGUUAAAACCAACAUGAUAUAUGGAAACAUACAAGGUUAAAUGCCUUAAUUCUUCCCUCUUAUGGCCACACGAUGCUGUGAAGUUUCUUCCUUAAAAUUUAGUGCUUCAGACCCUGAAAUAGCAUGGGUUGUUGCAGAGUUGAAGAUGGGGGCCAGGCCGGUGCCGCAGCUCAAUAGGCUAAUCCUCCCCCUGCAGUGCUGGCACACCGGGUUCUAGUCCCAGUCGGGGCGCUGGAUUCUGUCCCGGUUGUUCCUCUUCCAGUCCAGCUCUCUGCUGUGGCCCGGGAGUGCAGUGGAGGUUGGCCCAAGUGUUUGGGCCCUGUACCCGCAAGGGAGAGCAGGAGAAGCACCUGGCUCCUGGCUUCAGAUCAGCGCGGUGUGCUGGCCACAGUGCGCCGGCUGCAGUGCGCCGGUCGCAGCAGCUAUUGGGGGGUGAACCAACGGAAAAGGAAGACUUUUCCAUCUGUCUCUCCCUCUCACUGUCCACUCUGCCUGUCAAAAAAAAAAAAAAAAAAGAUGGGGGCAGGCUUAACAAAGUCAAAUUGUGAUAGCCACCCUAGUACUGAUUAGGCAGUACCCUGUACCAAAGUUUGUAUUGACUGGCACUUUAGAGAAGGAGAUCAUUCAUUAUAUAAUUAAAUCUGUAUUACUCUUUAAAGAAGGAGAAUUUUUUCUUUUUUUUUUUUCUUUAUGGAACUGAGGCAUAGAAAGGCAUGUAACAUUUUUAAGGUCAUAUAGUAAAUGACAGAGCCGGAACAAGCAAACGACAGAGCAUUUGGUUAACAGACAAUCAUGUUACUUGUGAUUACUGAGACAAUCGCUAUUACUCAUAGUUGCUAAUCUUUUUGCAGGCGGUGAAGUAUCUAUGGUCUUCAUACUUCUAGAGGUCUGCAAAGGUUUUAGUGAGGUUCCUAAAACAUUUUUAAUAUUUCAGACACACAAGCAAUUCACACAUUUACCUACAGAAAGGUAGCACAGUCUAACAAAGCAUGUUCAUUUUCUUUGUUUGGAUUUGAGUUUAUUAACCCUGACCAGUAAUCCUGGUUAUCCAUGCUGAUCAGAAUACUAAUCAGAAAAGGGAAGUCUUGGCUUAAUAAGUACAGUCUGAUCUUCAAACAAGCAAGCACGUAAACUGAAGUUUAGAUAUGGGGCCACUGUGCGAAGAAUAAUAAUAACAGUAAUAUGAGGUCUUAUAAUGAAAAGAACAUUGCUUUGAAAGUACUGGAUAGAUAUAUGUGCAACAGCAAAGGAACAGUUCCAGAGACACAUGGAAACACCUGUAUCUAAAUGGAUGGUUAGCCCUGUGCACCGCCUUAGUGUGUGUCUCCCCACCUAGAUCAAUACCUCAUCGGAGUGGGUAAGCUCAAAGUACUGCAUAAACAAUGGCUUUUCAGCAGGGGCUGAAUAAAGAGUAGAAACUGAGUUAGAAGAAGGGAGUAAAUAUGUGUUUCCAUUCAGAGGCUCGUAUUUGGGUUAUAGCAACCACAUUGCUUGUUCAUCAUACUCAGAAAACAAGUGUAUGUUGGGUCCGGCAGUGGACGAGGCACCAGGGUUUGGAAAUGAAAAAGUCAAGGUCCAGCAUUCAAGGAGGUCAAAUCUGGUAAAGAAGGCAGCUACCACAGUAAAGCAGUUUACUAUGGAGAGAUUAAGGCUGUGAUAUACGUAAAUACUCAGCAAGGCAGUAACAUAAAAGAGAAAGUAGGACUUUUCUUAUCUAUCCAAGCUACACGCAGCCUUUGAACUCUGCUUUGAAGGAUCACUGACUGGGAGCUUGCCACAUGGGAAAGGAACAAAAAAGAUAAACCUUUUGAGACAUUGCAAUGGAUAUGGGAACUCAGUGAUUUCAGGUCUAUUUUCAAAUCAGUUAAUAACAGAGGAGAGAGAAGGUAUGCCUUGUGGUUUAAUAAACUGAGCUUCUGGCCAGCACCAUGGCUCACUAGGCUAAUCCUCUGCUUGUAGCACCAGUACACUGGGUUCUAGUCCCGGUUGGGGCACCAAAUUCUGUCCCGGUUGCACCUCUUCCAGUCCAGCUCUGCUGUGACCCGGAGUGCAGUGGAGGAUAGCCCAAGUGCUUGGGCCCUGCACCCGCAUGGGAGACCAGGAGAUACACCUGGUUCCUGGCUUGUGCCGUUAUGCCCAUAAUUCAUAUCAAAGUGGCUGGCAUAAGAAGUUUUUGAACUGCAUUGAUAAUUUAAGCCUCAUAGGAGAGUGAUACAGCAGAACUGAUUAUAUUUGUUGGAAAUGGAGUGGGUAGACAAUAGUGCUAAUUGUUAAUGUGGCAGUUGGUUAUGCCCUAACUAAACAAGAAUGUAUGUUGGCAGUAGAAGUUGGUUGGUUGCAAAGAAUAGGGCGCAAAAGUGUUUUGGGAUAUUGUUCUUUUAAAAGAAAUUCUCAAGAACAAGUAAAACAGAUCCAGAUUUAGCUGGCAUGGGUGUGUGCAAAGAGCUUGGGCAGAAUAAUGGGGAACAGUUUCUUUUUUGACUUGGCAGUCAUUCUACAUAAGCUGAUUAUGACUUAAUGAUACUUUAUUGCCUAUGUCUCAUAUAGAUUAGGCUCUUCAACCUGAUCUUCUCAGACUGGCUUCUCACAAGGCAUCACAUCCAACAACAUUCAGACCACAGACAUGCUUGAUGCCCCCUGUAUUGCAGCAUGCAUUCUUCUUAGAGUCCUGUGAAGCCAUGACAGAUGAUAAACGUAUUAGCAAAUUCUGUAUAGAUACUGUCAUAAGAUCCUAAUUUUUCUAAAUAUGGACAGACAUUUGAGGAAUUAAGAAGCACUGAAAUGAUUAGUAUCUUGGGGGCAGCAUCCCUUCCCCAGGGCCAGCUGGAGCACCCCUUUGAAGUGGAGCCAGGGAAUGUCUGUAGAUUUUUCUUCACUGAAAUGACUGAUGUUUACUUGAAGUUGCAAAGGUGAAUUGCACCGUCACAGAGGUCCAAGCACAUGUCUUCUCAAGAAGAGAGUUUCAGCCACCAAUAAAACACUACCUUGAUGUCUGAGGAAUCAAAGUUUCCAUUGUCAAAUCUGGUCCUUCUUAGUAUUUCCUGGAGCCCACUCUUUUACCAAAUUCUGAACUAAUACUUGGCUAUCAACAUGUUUAAUAGUUAAAUUUUCUUAACCAUCUCAAGAUGCGCUCAACUUUGGGAUCUUUGUUCAUGGUUAACUUUCCUUACUUUAUACCAACCCAAAUCCUAGUGAUCCAUUAAAUGUCACCUCCUUCUGCAAUCCUUCCAUCAUGCAACUUUUGAAUUCUUUUGACACUUAAAGAACCCUAGAAGCUGACAUUGAAUGAGAAUCCUCCUCUCGCUGUCCUGUGUGCACAACUCAUGCCCUCCACUAGACUAUAGUCCCCUGAUAGCCAAAGGCACAGCUUCCCCAUUUUAUAUAUCCUUUGUUGUGCCUCUCAGAGCACAGCAUGGACUGAGCUCCCAUCAGGGAUAAAUGAUGACCCAGCCCUAUGCACAAUGACAUAAAAGCAUAAAGAGGUUUCUUUUAUUUCAAAGACAGAGUUACAAAGAGAGAUGUAGAGAGAGAGAGAGAGAGAGAGAAUUGAUCUUCCAACUGCUGGUUCACUCCCCAAAUGGUCACAAUGGCUAGAGCUGAGCUGACCUGAAUCCAGGAGCUUAUUCCUAGUCUCCCACAUGGGUGCAGGGGCCCAAGCACUUGGACCAUUCUCUACUGCUUUCCCAGGCACAUUAACAGGGAGCUGGAUUAGAAGUGGAACAGCUGAGACUUGAACCGGUGCCCAUGUGGGAUGCCAGUGUUGCAGGCUGGGGCUUUAACCCACUGUGCCACAGUGCUGGCCCCAGCAUAAAGAUUUAAAGAGAACAAAUUAUACAUCAAAUACUUAUUGUAUUGCUAGGUCAUAGGUAAGGUUUUUUACUUGCAUUAUUAAUUGUCUUAUUAGUUGCUGCAGCACCUCUGAAAAGUUGUACUCAGGUUUUAGAGGUAGGAAAAUAGAGUCGGAAAGUGUUAAUAAGUGAGUUGACCACUAUCCAAGACAGGUCCCCUCAACAUCAAGGCUCUGCCUCUGUUGUCAGUUCUAUGCUGUAUUCUGACCAAGAGUUAUUUGGGCUCCUGAUUAUGGCCAGCAUACUUCGGAGAAAGUGAAUUCAAAAGAUAAAGUAUUACAGAAGUCUGUGCUCAGUGCCUGCCACUUAUUCUUACUACCAUAACACAAGAGAGGUAUUGAUAUGAGGCUCAGGAAGCGAAGCUAGUGUGAUAAAUUAACUGGCUUAUUAUGGAAGGUUAGUCAGUAAUUAUGAUGGUGCCCAUUUGAGGCAAUAUACUUUGUCUUACAGUUGCUUUACCUGUGGCCAUAUUUUCCAAUUAAAUACUCUCCAUGAGAUGCAAGAACCAGAGGAGAGGAGUUGUAGCCUCAGAAGGACUUGGAUAUUGUGUGCUCAAACAUCAAGUCCUAGGGUUUUAAUUGGCUUUUUGUUGCCAGGACAUUCCGAAGAAAUUUUCUUCUUUUAAGGCCUGGGAAGUUGUGCAGCCAUUGCUUUUUUUUCAAAGAUUAAUUUAAAUAUUCAAAGUUACUCAAAUGUGAAUUGAGAGAGGUUGGCAUUUGCCUGUGGUUUCAAACAUAUCUCUGUCUCAUGCUUUCCUGCGUUUGGCCAUGCUGUGUUUGUGCUGAGAAUUCCCCGCCUCAACUCCUCUUGUGAGUGAAGAGUCAUUCUUCCAUUACUCGCUGCUCAAGCACUUCUUUUGUGAACACUAUCCUGAAUCCUUUCAUGCCCCUGCCAGGCACAAAGAUUUAUUUUGGUGCUAAAAAUUUUGAAAUCCAUGCAUAUGGGGAGUAUUCAAGAAGUUCAUGGAAAAUGAAUGUCAUGAAAAAAGUAUGCAUGGAUUUUAGAAUAUAAUUGCACCUACUUUCAUUUUAACUACAUUUUCUAUGAACUUUGGAAACCCACCUUGGAUUUCCCACAUUGAUAUUUACUAAAGCAUGGAUCUCCACUUCAGGCAUCUAGUCAACCAAGGAGGCAAAGCAGUAUGGUGGUUAACACCGUUGACUCCUAAUCCAGAUUCAGCUUCCUUGUUGGUAGAAAGGGUCCGGGGGC